UGGUAGUCCACGCUGUAAACGAUGUCGAUUUGGAGGUUGUGCCCUUGAGGCGUGGCUUCCGGAGCUAACGCGUUAAAUCGACCGCCUGGGGAGUACGGCCGCAAGGUUAAAACUCAAAUGAAUUGACGGGGGCCCGCACAAGCGGUGGAGCAUGUGGUUUAAUUCGAUGCAACGCGAAGAACCUUACCUACUCUUGACAUCCAGAGAACUUAGCAGAGAUGCUUUGGUGCCUUCGGGAACUCUGAGACAGGUGCUGCAUGGCUGUCGUCAGCUCGUGUUGUGAAAUGUUGGGUUAAGUCCCGCAACGAGCGCAACCCUUAUCCUUUGUUGCCAGCGGUUCGGCCGGGAACUCAAAGGAGACUGCCAGUGAUAAACUGGAGGAAGGUGGGGAUGACGUCAAGUCAUCAUGGCCCUUACGAGUAGGGCUACACACGUGCUACAAUGGCAUAUACAAAGAGAAGCGACCUCGCGAGAGCAAGCGGACCUCAUAAAGUAUGUCGUAGUCCGGAUUGGAGUCUGCAACUCGACUCCAUGAAGUCGGAAUCGCUAGUAAUCGUAGAUCAGAAUGCUACGGUGAAUACGUUCCCGGGCCUUGUACACACCGCCCGUCACACCAUGGGAGUGGGUUGCAAAAGAAGUAGGUAGCUUAACCUUCGGGAGGGCGCUUACCACUUUGUGAUUCAUGACUGGGG
This 692-nucleotide ribosomal RNA is filed under the name uncultured Serratia sp. RNAcentral describes it as "bacterial SSU rRNA". It matches the Rfam family "Bacterial small subunit ribosomal RNA", at positions 788 to 1480 of the family's 1533-position model. Lineage: Bacteria; Pseudomonadati; Pseudomonadota; Gammaproteobacteria; Enterobacterales; Yersiniaceae. The record is from RNAcentral.